Molecule: long non-coding RNA, 207 nt
Filed under: Elaeis guineensis (African oil palm)
Lineage: Eukaryota; Viridiplantae; Streptophyta; Magnoliopsida; Arecales; Arecaceae
Description: long non-coding RNA (EGUI_LNC052321)
Source: RNAcentral
GAAAUGGCUCUCUGCUGUUUUCAACAUAUUCAGCAACUCAGGCAGGCUAAUGUUUAGUUUGUUCAUAUGAUAAUUUAUAACAAACUGAAAAAAAGUUAAGGAGAGACUGCAUGAUCAAAUCCCGACUUAGUUCACCAUCCAUGGCAAAACUCAAUUAUCCCAAAUGAGUGAUCAAAUCAAUCAUCUUUAGGACAUGUGUUUGCACGG